GCAAGUCGAACGGUAGCAUAUCUUGCUUGCAAGAUGAUGACGAGUGGCGGACGGGUGAGUAAUACUUAGGAACAUGCCUUUGAGUGGGGGAUAACUAUUGGAAACGAUAGCUAAUACCGCAUAACGUCUACUGACCAAUGGGGGCUUCGGCUCUCGCUCAGGGAGUGGCCUAAGCGAGAUUAGCUAGUUGGUAGGGUAAAGGCUCACCAAGGCGACGAUCUCUAGCUGUCCUGAGAGGAAGAUC
Molecule: ribosomal RNA, 244 nt
Filed under: uncultured bacterium
Lineage: Bacteria
Description: partial 16S ribosomal RNA
Rfam family: Bacterial small subunit ribosomal RNA
Source: RNAcentral